AUGCAAUUAUAAGCGAAACUGCGAAUGGCUCAUUAUAUAAGUUAUCGUUUAUUUGAUAGUACCUUACUACUUGGAUAACCGUGGUAAUUCUAGAGCUAAUACAUGCUAAAAAUCCCGACUUCGGAAGGGAUGUAUUUAUUAGAUUAAAAACCAAUGCCCUCUGGGCUCCUUGGUGAUUCAUGAUAACUCUUCGAAUCGCACGGCCUUGCGCCGGCGAUGGUUCAUUCAAAUUUCUUCCCUAUCAACUUUCGAUGUUUGGGUAUUGGCCAAACAUGGUUGCAACGGGUAACGGAGGGUUAGGGCUCGACCCCGGAGAAGGAGCCUGAGAAACGGCUACUACAUCCAAGGAAGGCAGCAGGCGCGCAAAUUACCCAAUCCCGAUUCGGGGAGGUAGUGACAAUAAAUACUGAUACAGGGCUCUUUUGGGUCUUGUAAUUGGAAUGAGUACAAUUUAAAUCUCUUAACGAGGAACAAUUGGAGGGCAAGUCUGGUGCCAGCAGCCGCGGUAAUUCCAGCUCCAAUAGCGUAUAUUAAAGUUGUUGUGGUUAAAAAGCUCGUAGUUGAACCUUGGGCCUGGCUGGCCGGUCCGCCUCACCGCGUGCACUGGUCCGGCCGGGCCUUUCCCUCUGUGGAACCCCAUGCCCUUCACUGGGCGUGGCGGGGAAACAGGACGUUUACUUUGAAAAAAUUAGAGUGCUCCAGGCAGGCCUAUGCUCGAAUACAUUAGCAUGGAAUAAUGAAAUAGGACGCGUGGUUCUAUUUUGUUGGUUUCUAGGACCGCCGUAAUGAUUAAUAGGGACAGUCGGGGGCAUCAGUAUUCAAUUGUCAGAGGUGAAAUUCUUGGAUUUAUUGAAGACUAACUACUGCGAAAGCAUUUGCCAAGGAUGUUUUCAUUAAUCAGGAACGAAAGUUAGGGGAUCGAAGACGAUCAGAUACCGUCGUAGUCUUAACCAUAAACU
This 959-nucleotide ribosomal RNA is filed under the name Cordyceps cicadae. RNAcentral's name for it is "SSU rRNA". It matches the Rfam family "Eukaryotic small subunit ribosomal RNA", at positions 67 to 1038 of the family's 1831-position model. Lineage: Eukaryota; Fungi; Ascomycota; Sordariomycetes; Hypocreales; Cordycipitaceae. The record is from RNAcentral.